RNAcentral lists this unclassified non-coding RNA (400 nucleotides) under uncultured Bacteroidaceae bacterium. RNAcentral describes it as "contains 16S-23S intergenic spacer region". The record is from RNAcentral. Lineage: Bacteria; Pseudomonadati; Bacteroidota; Bacteroidia; Bacteroidales; Bacteroidaceae.
CGGACUACCAGGGUUUCUAAUCCUGUUUGAUACCCACACUUUCGAGCCUCAAUGUCAGUUGCAGCUUAGCAGGCUGCCUUCGCAAUCGGAGUUCUUCGUGAUAUCUAAGCAUUUCACCGCUACACCACGAAUUCCGCCUGCCUCAACUGCACUCAAGACAUCCAGUAUCAACUGCAAUUUUACGGUUGAGCCGCAAACUUUCACAACUGACUUAACUGUCCACCUACGCUCCCUUUAAACCCAAUAAAUCCGGAUAACGCUCGGAUCCUCCGUAUUACCGCGGCUGCUGGCACGGAGUUAGCCGAUCCUUAUUCAUAUGGUACAUACAAAAUUCCACACGUGGAAAACUUUAUUCCCAUAUAAAAGAAGUUUACAACCCAUAGGGCAGUCAUCCUUCACG